AUGCCACAAAAAAACACUAUUAUUCCCAAAGCCAUAGCCACAGUCUGCUUGAUUGAGUUAGCUGUAUCUUCUCAAAUCUGCAGCUUUAAAUUCAUUCAACAACCCAUAUAAGUUAAAAAUUGAAGAAUUAUAGUUUCGUCAACUCUUCAUUCUAUCACCAAUUUAAAGAUGGAUCGUACUUACUGGAUGUACCAUACCACACGUACAAGCUCGAUGUUUACGGAUGGCGUUCGAAAUUUUCUUAGGGUUGCCGAAACAAAUCGAUUGAAUAGUGGAAGUGGAUUGAUU
This 288-nucleotide long non-coding RNA is filed under the name Helianthus annuus (common sunflower). Its description in RNAcentral is "sRNA HanXRQr2_Chr09g0363431". Lineage: Eukaryota; Viridiplantae; Streptophyta; Magnoliopsida; Asterales; Asteraceae. The record is from RNAcentral.